GGGUGAGUAAUGUAUCGGAACGUACCUUUCAGUGGGGGAUAACGCAGCGAAAGUACGCUAAUACCGCAUAUUCUGUGAGCAGGAAAGCAGGGGAUCGCAAGACCUUGCGCUGAUUGAGCGGCGAUAUCAGAUUAGCUAGAUGGUGAGGUAAAGGCUCACCAAGGCGACGAUCUGUAGCGGGUCUGAGAGGAUGAUCCGCCACACUGGAACUGAGACACGGUCCAGACUCCUACGGGAGGCAGCAGUGGGGAAUUUUGGACAAUGGGGGCAACCCUGAUCCAGCCAUGCCGCGUGAAUGAAGAAGGCCUUCGGGUUGUAAAGCUCUUUCGGCCGGGAAGAAAUCGCAUGGGUUAAUACCCUGUGCGGAUGACGGUACCGGCAUAAGAAGCACCGGCUAACUACGUGCCAGCAGCCGCGGUAAUACGUAGGGUGCGAGCGUUAAUCGGAAUUACUGGGCGUAAAGCGUGCGCAGGCGGUUUUGUAAGACAGGCGUGAAAUCCCCGGGCUCAACCUGGGAACUGCGCUUGUGACUGCAAGGCUAGAGUAUGGCAGAGGGGGGUGGAAUUCCACGUGUAGCAGUGAAAUGCGUAGAGAUGUGGAGGAACACCAAUGGCGAAGGCAGCCCCCUGGGCCAAUACUGACGCUCAUGCACGAAAGCGUGGGUAGCAAACAGGAUUAGAUACCCUGGUAGUCCACGCCCUAAACGAUGUCAACUAGGUGUUGGGUGGGUAAAACCAUUUAGUACCGGAGCUAACGCGUGAAGUUGACCGCCUGGGGAGUACGGCCGCAAGGUUAAAACUCAAAGGAAUUGACGGGGACCCGCACAAGCGGUGGAUGAUGAGGAUUAAUUCGAUGCAACGCGAAAAACCUUACCUACCCUUGACAUGUCCAGGAGCCUGAAGAGAUUUGGGUGUGCCCGAAAGGGAACUGGAACACAGGUGCUGCAUGGCUGUCGUCAGCUCGUGUCGUGAGAUGUUGGGUUAAGUCCCGCAACGAGCGCAACCCUUGUCGUUAAUUGCCAUCAUUUAGUUGGGCACUUUAACGAGACUGCCGGUGACAAACCGGAGGAAGGUGGGGAUGACGUCAAGUCCUCAUGGCCCUUAUGGGUAGGGCUUCACACGUCAUACAAUGGUCGGUACAAAGGGUUGCCAACCCGCAAGGGGGAGCCAAUCCCAGAAAGCCGAUCGUAGUCCGGAUUGCAGGCUGCAACUCGCCUGCAUGAAGUCGGAAUCGCUAGUAAUCGUGGAUCAGCAUGUCACGGUGAAUACGUUCCCGGGUCUUGUACACACCGCCCGUCACACCAUGGGAGCGGGUUCCGCCAGAAGUAGGUAGCCUAACCGCAAGGGGGGCGCUUACCACGACGGGGCUCGUGACUG
RNAcentral lists this ribosomal RNA (1376 nucleotides) under metagenome. RNAcentral's name for it is "bacterial SSU rRNA". It matches the Rfam family "Bacterial small subunit ribosomal RNA", at positions 104 to 1477 of the family's 1533-position model. The record is from RNAcentral.